This 777-nucleotide ribosomal RNA is filed under the name uncultured Neocallimastigales. RNAcentral's name for it is "partial large subunit ribosomal RNA". It matches the Rfam family "Eukaryotic large subunit ribosomal RNA", at positions 23 to 648 of the family's 3401-position model. Lineage: Eukaryota; Fungi; Neocallimastigomycota; Neocallimastigomycetes; Neocallimastigales. The record is from RNAcentral.
AGAGAUGUGUGAUGACGCAUAUCAAUAAGCGGAGGAAAAGAAACUAACAAGGAUUCCCUUAGUAACGGCGAGUGAAGCGGGAAGAGCUCAAAUUUGAAAUCUUCAAGGUUCUACCUUGACGAAUUGUAGUUUAUAGAAGUGUUUUCUGUUAGUGGAGUGGCAAAAGUUCUUUGGAAUAGGACAUCAUAGAGGGUGAGAAUCCCGUAUUUGGUCAUUCCUUCCUAGCGUUGUGAUACACUUUCAAAGAGUCGGAUUGUUUGGGAAUGCAGUCCAAAAUGGGUGGUAAAUUUCAUCUAAAGCUAAAUAUUGGCGAGAGACCGAUAGCGAACAAGUACCGUGAGGGAAAGAUGAAAAGAACUUUGAAAAGAGAGUUAAACAGUACGUGAAAUUGUCAAAAGGGAAGCGUUUGACACCAGUGUUGUUUUUCCGAAAAUCAAUUACGAAUGUUUUAGUUUUUGAGGAGUUAUGACUUCAUCGGCUCGCUCCUUUCUUUAUGAAACUUUCUUAAUGCACUUUUCGGUUAACAAGUCAACAUCAAUUUCUUUUGUUGUAAAAGGGUAUGAGGAAGGUGGCUUUCUUUUCGGAGAAAGUGUUUAUAGCCUUGUGCCUCUGCAAUCGGAGAGAUUGAGGUCUGCAGCGUAGAUCCUUCGGGGUUAGAUACACUUGUGCUAAGCUAUAGCCUUUUAUAGACAACUUGUUGACUAUGCUCAGUCAUGUAGCUUACUCGCUUAGUGCUAUUUUACCUACGCUUAGGAUGUUGACGAUCAGCUGAGCGCG